RNAcentral lists this ribosomal RNA (406 nucleotides) under uncultured bacterium. RNAcentral's name for it is "partial 16S ribosomal RNA". It matches the Rfam family "Bacterial small subunit ribosomal RNA", at positions 30 to 526 of the family's 1533-position model. The record is from RNAcentral.
AUUGAACGCUGGCGGCAGGCCUAACACAUGCAAGUCGAACGAGUGGCGGACGGGUGAGUAAUGUCUGGGAAACUGCCUGAUGGAGGGGGAUAACUACUGGAAUCGGUAGCUAAUACCGCAUACCAGCAGAUGUGCCCAGAUGGGAGUAGCUUGUUGGUGGGGUAACGGCGCACCAAGGCGACGAUCGCUAGCUGGUCUGAGAGGAUGACCAGCCACACGUGAACUGAAACACGGUCCAGGAUCCGACGUGAGGCAGCAGUGGGGAAUAUUGCACAGUGGGCGCAAGCCUGAUGCAGCCAUGCCGCGUGUAUGAAGAAGGCCUGCGGGGUGUAAAGUACUUUCAGCGGGGAGGCGUUACCCGCAGAAGAAGCACCGGCUAACUCCGUGCCAGCAGUCGCGGUAAUUC